CUCUCGGGUCAAUAGCGGCCGGCCGGCGUUGCGGCCGAUCCGGGAACCAGCUCGCGUCCACAAUUAUUUGCAACAGGGCCGGCCACUCGCGUAACAAGUGCAUGACGCGGCGCGUUCUCCGCGGGGGCCGAGGGUGGAUUUUUCUCGUCGCGCGCGGGGGACUCCCCGGAGUUCCUUCUCCCUCGGACUCUCCUCGCGACGGCGGCGCGUGAUUGUAAUGCUCAUUAAAAUUCAGGGCCGGCUCGAAAAUAGCACGAGGAACGCGCGCCGCGCGGCGAACAAAGGGCCGCGAGCCGUUAUUCUUAGAACGGGAACGCGGUUCGAGAAUUAUCUCGUUUCCGGCCGCGCCGCGGGAAACCGAAUGGAAAGAAGGGUAAUACUACCGGAGGAAGCGCCGUGCGUCGCCGGUAAGAAGUCUCCCGGACGGCCCACCGCCGGGAGGAUUCUUUUCACGCGUGCCUCGUUCGCUGUCGUCGCCGAGCGGAUCAGUCUUCCCGCGGUAUCGGUUUCGUGUUAACACUAGGUUUACGGAACGCGUCAAUUUCACGCAGAUCGAAUUUUAUAAACAUUAUCUGGUAAAUGUUUCAAUCGGUUUUCGUUGAUCCAAUUGAUUGGUUCCUACAUCUACAAUUUCCAAAAUCUAAAUGAACGAAUAUCAACUUACCCAGGAGAAAUAGAAUAAACUGUACAAUAAAUGCCUGUAAACCUAGUGUUAAUAGCGUCGCAGCACUGUAACUCGUAUAGAGACUGGUACUAAUGUAACACCAACGUUCUGUACAGGCGAUGUCUUUCCACGUUUCCGAGCUGAAGGGCAAGUGCGGUGACACGGAGCACGAUGAUUCGGAGAACGAGUGUAAUCAGAAGACAGACAGACAGUCCUCCGAGCGUCGAGGGACUUCAAAGCACACGCGUCAAACUCCUCGCCUCGGAAGAAACACGUCUCGACGGUGACGGUCGUUCGAGUAACGCGUCCGCCCUCGGCGGAGGUCGUCGUUGGAUCAUCGGCCCUCGCAGCGUCUUCGCCGAGUAAUUUCGAGCAGACUCAUCGAGCACGGCACGCUGGAAUAGAUAUACGUCGGUGCAGCUCGAUGCUGAUCGCGGAGCUUGACCCGGCGAGAGGGGCGAAAGAGGGCCACGGUCGGAGGGGCGGAAUCGGCGGCGCUCCGCGAAGCGGGGUGGGGGACGGCUGGCGUUGUCGUUAGUGCCGUAAGGCGCCGCUCAAGAACCUGGGACCACUUUCAAUCACCGGGAACUGCCGGUCACAGCCGGUCUCGAAUUUAACGCCGGCCUCCUCGCCAAUUGGACCCGUUUAGUACGAGGAUUACAUCCGAUGUCUGCUCCGCGGUAACGAAAUACCGGGGCAAUAAACACACCGGGACCAUAAACGGAAGCUCCUCCCGCGGGCCCGGGUCAGCUACAGUCCUCCGGCACGGAACCGUGCUCGCCACUCGACAGAAAUGAAUGUUGCGGGUUGAAGACUGGCUUCGAUCGUAACGACAGCAGAAAUGAUUUUUAGGAUGUUGCAAUAAGGGACGAGGACGUGCUCGGCUAGAUUCUAGCGCGCCGAGAGCUGGAAUUGUGUGGGAUUUCAGUUUCACGAUGCAGUUGCUGUGUUUCUAUCUUCGCGAAUAAGCUCAGUUACAUUUGUUAGCUGUGAACUGUGCUUGGAUUUAAUAAAUCCCGAGAGAGAGAGAAGAGAAGAGAGAAGGGUGGCUACCACUAGGGAAUAGGUUCGUGUACGGUGCAGCGUUGGCGAUUUAGAGGAUUCCGACGCAGAGUAAACAGUAACCUGCUUAUAACAUCGGUCUCAGCGGGCUAGUGUUCGUCGAUCGCAGUUUGCAGGAGGAACAGGGAUACCGCGUCUUCGUUACUCGGGACGACGGUGAUACAAGGAAUCUCCAGCUGACCGAGAGUUAAGACGUUAUCAAGAGCAGUUCAUCGACCGCCGGCGUUACAUUAAAUCUGCAAAGCGGUUGCACAGAUCCAGCCGACGAUGAGCGGUUCCGGUGGCGCCAGGCGACGCCGCUACAUCCCUGCCGCCAGUAGGGUGGCUCGUCGCGUGGUGGGGAUGGAGCAGCUGGGGUGGCUGGAGCUACCUCGAAUGCGAGCGAGCGAGCGAGCCCACGGUACCUACACGCUGGGUGUCUGGGUUUGGCCGGGUCGUGGCGGGUCCUGCGCAGCCAAAGAGACAGAGGUAGGGUAGCGAGCGGGGACAGACGGAAAUAGAAGGAUAGAGAGCGAGAGAGCAAGGCGGAGCGGAGAGAGUCGGAGAGGCAGAGGCGGAGGCGAGCAAAAGUGA
This is a non-coding RNA of Nomia melanderi (Alkali bee), 2299 nucleotides long. NCBI's taxonomy places the organism in Eukaryota, Metazoa, Arthropoda, Insecta, Hymenoptera, Halictidae. The record is from RefSeq and is a predicted model, not a curated record.